GCGAAUAUGGCGCAAUGGGAGCGCUACCACUACCAAUUAUUUGCUUGAUUGUUUACAAGUUCCAAAAUCGUCUGUAAUGGGUUCGACUCCCUGUAUUCGUU
Molecule: non-coding RNA, 101 nt
Organism: Crucibulum laeve
Lineage: Eukaryota; Fungi; Basidiomycota; Agaricomycetes; Agaricales; Nidulariaceae
Source: the annotation of a GenBank genome assembly